AUGUCUUUGUGCUGUAUUCCUGUGAUAUUGUCAUCUGCAAGGCAGGUGCAAAAUCCUGCCCAUAGCAAGGCACAAGUGUAAUGGGAACAGGCACUGGAGACACAUCUUGGUAAACAGAGCUGCUUGCAACCUUGUUAGCCCUUCCGGACAGCUGUCCUCCACAGACCUGGCCCUGGAUGGAAUAUCAGCCAGCAGAGAUGAGUUUUUAGUACCUCCAGGAUUAUUUUGGAAAGAAAUUCUCUUUACAAGAUGGGAAGAGUCCACAGAGAACUCAUACAGGUCCCCACGGAUGGACUGUGAGCAGAGCAAGGCUGCCAUGCUCUCCAGAGACAGUAGCUGCUGGUAGCUGGGUCUCUCACAGAAUUAAAAGAUUGAUGGCUUCUUCUCUAUCCAUUCAGUGGAAUGAAUGACACCAUGGCUUUACUUCCUGAUCUCUGCAGACCUCCCUGGGUAUGAAGACAGUACAAUCGAAAGCUAAGAAUUUCCCCUUUCAAGUGGUGAAUAAAAACUCUCAGCUCUUUUUUUUCUUUCUUCUGAAGAAAGUGGAAAAGCCUGUCUUCAGAAGGCUUGAUCUCAGGUCAGCAUCUCAUUGAAGCCAG
Molecule: long non-coding RNA, 599 nt
Organism: Passer montanus (Eurasian tree sparrow)
Lineage: Eukaryota; Metazoa; Chordata; Aves; Passeriformes; Passeridae
Exons: 3
Source: RefSeq, a predicted model, not a curated record